RNAcentral lists this ribosomal RNA (468 nucleotides) under uncultured bacterium. Its description in RNAcentral is "partial 16S ribosomal RNA". It matches the Rfam family "Bacterial small subunit ribosomal RNA", at positions 28 to 507 of the family's 1533-position model. The record is from RNAcentral.
GACGAACGCUGGCGGCGUGCUUAACACAUGCAAGUCGAACGGAAAGGCCCUGCUUUUGUGGGGUGCUCGAGUGGCGAACGGGCGAGUAACACGUGAGUAACCUGCCCUUGACUUUGGGAUAACUUCAGGAAACUGGGGCUAAUACCGGAUAGGAGCUCCUGCUGCAUGGUGGGGGUUGGAAAGUUUCGGCGGUUGGGGAUGGACUCGCGGCUUAUCAGCUUGUUGGUGGGGUAGUGGCUUACCAAGGCUUUGACGGGUAGCCGGCCUGAGAGGGUGACCGGCCACAUUGGGACUGAGAUACGGCCCAGACUCCUACGGGAGGCAGCAGUGGGGAAUAUUGCCCAAUGGGCGGAAGCCUGAUGCAGCAACGCCGCGUGCGGGAUGACGGCCUUCGGGUUGUAAACCGCUUUCGCCUGUGACGAAGCGUGAGUGACGGUAAUGGGUAAAGAAGCACCGGCUAACUACGUG